RNAcentral lists this transfer RNA (72 nucleotides) under Camelus bactrianus (Bactrian camel). It matches the Rfam family "tRNA". Rfam says of the family: Transfer RNA (tRNA) molecules are approximately 80 nucleotides in length. Their secondary structure includes four short double-helical elements and three loops (D, anti-codon, and T loops). The record is from Rfam by way of RNAcentral. RNAcentral also lists the same sequence under 2 other names. Lineage: Eukaryota; Metazoa; Chordata; Mammalia; Artiodactyla; Camelidae.
AAGGGUAUAGCUCAGUGGUAGAGCACAUACUUAGUAUGCACAAGGUCCUGGGUUCAAUCCCCAGUACCUCCA